CCUACGGGAGGCAGCAGUGGGGAAUCUUGCGCAAUGGGCGAAAGCCUGGCGCAGCAACGCCGCGUGCGGGAAGAAGGCUUUCGGGCUGUAAACCGCUUUCAGCAGGAACGAAAAUGACGGUACCUGCAGAAGAAGGAGCGGCCAACUAUGUGCCAGCAGCCGCGGUGAUACAUAGGCUUCAAGCGUUGUCCGGAUUUAUUGGGCGUAAAGAGUUCGUAGGCGGUCAAGUAAGUCGGGUGUGAAAAUUCUGGGCUCAACCCAGAGACGCCACCCGAUACUGCUUAACUUGAGUUCGAUAGGGGAGUGGGGAAUUCCUAGUGUAGCGGUGAAAUGCGCAGAUAUUAGGAGGAACACCGGUGGCGAAGGCGCCACUCUGGAUCGAUACUGACGCUGAGGAACGAAAGCAUGGGUAGCAAACAGGAUUAGAUACCCUGGUAGUCCAUGCCGUAAACGGUGGGCACUAGGUGUGGGUUUCUAUUAACGAAAUCCGCGCCGUCGCUAACGCAUUAAGUGCCCCGCCUGGGGAGUACGGUCGCAAGACUAAAACUCAAAUGAAAUUGACGG
Molecule: ribosomal RNA, 564 nt
Filed under: uncultured bacterium
Lineage: Bacteria
Description: bacterial SSU rRNA
Rfam family: Bacterial small subunit ribosomal RNA
Source: RNAcentral